AGGUGCUGCAUGGCUGUCGUCAGCUCGUGUUGUGAAAUGUUGGGUUAAGUCCCGUAACGAGCGCAACCCUUGUCCUUAUUUGCCAGCGCGUAAUGGCGGGAACUCUAAGGAGACUGCCGGUGACAAACCGGAGGAAGGUGGGGACGACGUCAAGUCAUCAUGGCCCUUACGAGUAGGGCUACACACGUGCUACAAUGGUCGGUACAAAGGGUUGCCAACUCGCGAGAGUGAGCCAAUCCCGAAAAGCCGAUCUCAGUCCGGAUCGGAGUCUGCAACUCGACUCCGUGAAGUCGGAAUCGCUAGUAAUCGUAGAUCAGAAUGCUACGGUGAAUACGUUCCCGGGCCUUGUACACACCGCCCGUCACACCAUGGGAGUGGACUGCACCAGAAGUGGUUAG
This 398-nucleotide ribosomal RNA is filed under the name uncultured Halomonas sp. Its description in RNAcentral is "bacterial SSU rRNA". It matches the Rfam family "Bacterial small subunit ribosomal RNA", at positions 1036 to 1433 of the family's 1533-position model. Lineage: Bacteria; Pseudomonadati; Pseudomonadota; Gammaproteobacteria; Oceanospirillales; Halomonadaceae. The record is from RNAcentral.